CUUAAGCUUUCCUUCUAGUAAAGCUGGAUCAAUAUCAAAGAACACUGACUAUUAUGGGCCCUUUUGCUUCAUCAAACCUCUAUUUUACCUUAUUGUCUGUGUUUUUGCACUUAACAUAGUUUUUAUUUGCACUUCAUGCUUUGAGAUAUGUUGCACGCACUUUAUUAAUUGAUGCAUCGUCUUUUAAUUUCCAUUUGAUCUUCAAAGAUAAAGAUAGCUGACACGGCAAACUCUUUGAUGUUUAACCUCUUUAUUAUUUUCACUAAAAUGGUUCCUUGUGUGCUGGAGAGUUUUUAAAAAGGAUGCAGGACUAAUUAUAUAUAGUGGAACAACAGACAAAUAUAAGAGGACAUAGAUUCUAGUGGAUGAGUGAUGCAAAAAUUUCUAAAUUUAAUUUACGUAUAUCUGUGCAAGUUUCAACUGUCAAGCAUUGUCUACCUAGUUCUUGAAUAUAUAGGUAAAAGAGUCCAUGUAAGUUAGAUGUUGGGUAACUAUAAAAUUACUUCUUUUUGAACCACAUAAUCUAAAAGUUUAAGGAGCCCUCGUGCAGUCUAAAAUCAUCUUUUAUCAAGAGCUUGAAAUUGUACUAUUUUCAUAAAUGGGUGUCGGCGAUGACAUGGCUUGAAUUUAGAAUCUCUGUCUAAUUUAAGACUAUUUUGAUCCUCCUCAUCUAAAUUUAAGCUAUUAAAGAAGGCAUUUUUGCUGCAAUUUCUAGCGUGCCUUUCUACACUUGCAUUGGUUUUCAUAUUACUUUCACAUUAGUCACCUCGACUAAUCAUUUUCUCUGAGAGCUUUUCAAUUUGAUGUCAGAUAAAAUGCACCCAAAGAAGUGCACUGUGUUUCCUUUCCACCCAUGGGCUUCCAAGGAAGGUACAAAAUGUGGUCUUGUAAUGUGGAUUCCUCACAGCAUUGAGGAGCUAAUCAAAACAGCAUCAAAGCAACUGAAAUUACCACAUGGUUCAUGUAUAUUAUCAGAAGAUGGAGGAAAAAUUCUUGAGGUCGAUAUGAUAAGUGAUGGCCAAAAGUUAUAUUUGGUUAAUGAAACAAAUUAAAUGUCACUCCCUUGUAUAUCAUUUAAAACACACGUUGCUUUCUUGAGUUUGGGAAUAUCGCAUUUCGUGUUUCUUGGGGGGAGAAUCACUCGUUGUGGGACUUCGUUUAUGAGGUUCACUCUUCCCAAGACUCUAAUCCUUUGGUGGGAAAGUUUAGGUGAGAAGUCCUUUCACUGGAACGUGAUUGUUAAUGAAUGUCUGUAAAGGCUGAAUUUGUAACAUCGAAAGAAGGGUGCUCUAUGCUCUCGUAUCGUUUUGAUUAGUGUGAUUUCCCUAUAUUGUAUUAAUAUGUACAUGUAUCUAUAAUAUAUUAAAUAUCAAAUCAAGUGAAAAUCAUUUUUUGGGCGAUUAUAAUUUUACUCAA
RNAcentral lists this long non-coding RNA (1416 nucleotides) under Olea europaea subsp. europaea. The record is from RNAcentral. Lineage: Eukaryota; Viridiplantae; Streptophyta; Magnoliopsida; Lamiales; Oleaceae.